ACAGCGGGUCUUCCUGGGCCCAACAACAGAACAAUGUGCAGAGGUGGAAACUGAGGCACGUGGCUUUGUGUGAC
Molecule: long non-coding RNA, 74 nt
Filed under: Cricetulus griseus (Chinese hamster)
Lineage: Eukaryota; Metazoa; Chordata; Mammalia; Rodentia; Cricetidae
Description: lncRNA (ENSCGRG00000024866.1)
Source: RNAcentral